Molecule: ribosomal RNA, 260 nt
Filed under: uncultured bacterium
Lineage: Bacteria
Description: partial 16S ribosomal RNA
Rfam family: Bacterial small subunit ribosomal RNA
Source: RNAcentral
GCGGACGGGUGAGUAACACGUGAGCAACCUGCCUAUCAGAGGGGGGAUAACGUUCUGAAAAGAACGCUAAUACCGCAUGAAGUACGAAAGGGACAUCCCAUUUGUACCAAAGGAGCAAUCCGCUGAUAGAUGGGCUCGCGUCCGAUUAGGUAGUUGGUGAGGUAACGGCUCACCAAGACCGCGAUCGGUAGCCGGACUGAGAGGUUGAACGGCCACAUUGGGACUGAGACACGGCCCAGACUCCUACGGGAGGCAGCAUG